This 2657-nucleotide long non-coding RNA is filed under the name Olea europaea subsp. europaea. The record is from RNAcentral. Lineage: Eukaryota; Viridiplantae; Streptophyta; Magnoliopsida; Lamiales; Oleaceae.
AAUCAUUCAUUUUUCAAAAAAAAAAAAAAAAACAAUAGUCUAUCCAUUUUCAUUUUCACAAAAAUGGUGGCCAAAUGGGGGAAUAUCAUAUCUUUCAUUCCUAAAAUUCUAAAGCCUUACCAAUCUACAUAAUUUUUUUAAUAUCGCUAUAAUAUUACUUUGACUUGGGACUCUUUCAAAAUGUCAAAAUAUUUAGCAUAUUAUUUCAAAGUUUCAUGUGUUGAAAUUUAUGUGAACGGUCCGUCCAGUACAUUCCUUUUAUCAUCUCCUCCUUUCGUUCCUACAUUGUUUCUUUUGAAUUCUUGCUUCAUCUUAGCAUUACCUCUUGAAGAAUCAGUAUGGAUUAACAUUGGUAAAGGAAUUCGGUAGAAAGCUUGCAUAUUUCUAUUAAAUCGAUAAGGAAUGAAUAGACAGCAUAACAGAGUACACAAACUACUGCAAGAAACUUCAUCAUAGGAAUAGAUAGGUCUCCGGAAAUUGAUGGCCAAAAGAUUUGCAAAGAAUUCCACUGAUGAUUUCUUUAAGGAAUCUUUUGUUGAAUUCCCCCGUCUCUUCUUUUUUUACUAAUUCCCUAAAGUAUUUUGAUUUUGCAUUGAACACUUGGUGGACCUUUUGAAGCAUUAUAUUUCAAUGCUCUACGGAAGUUGUCUCAAGCAAAAACUUGUUUCUCUUCCUUACCCUCAUUCAUUAACACUCUUAGUUUCAUAAAAUGACUUCAGCUCUAAACUUGAUUAAAACUACAUUUAUAAGCACAUGGACAAUAUAAAAUCAUACAUAAUGAGGUAAAAAAUAAUUUGAAAGCCACAAAAAAUAGGAUGGUUUUAUAGAAACGCUGGGAUCAUUAAAAUUAUAUUAUCAAAAUGAGUUUCACUAAAAUGAGUUUCACUAACACCGACUUUCAAUGCUAUUCCAACAAUGAAUAAAUGAGCUAAUUGAAUAUCUAUUUUUCUUAAUGCUAAUAUGAAUUGUAUACAUCAAUCUAAUGCCCAACAGUAUGUAAUAUGAUAUUAUAUGCUCAAUUAAAAGAUAGAUCUCUGUUCACCUCUUAAGCGAAAAGAGAAAGAAGAUGCCAAGGCAAUUCUCACAAAAUAUCUAUUACACAAAGCAAGCAGCCAAGUAUAACCGCUUUUUUCCAAUUCCAUAUUUCUUGUGAAAUCCAAUCCAAUUCCAGAAACCACUCCAUGCUUACGGUAAAAGACUAACCAUAGAAAAAGAGAGCAAAAGAGUUCCCCCAUUGAGUUCUCACACAUUGAAAUAUUUCUAGGCUGAUCAACAUAUUGCAACCCCAUAUAACAGUUGCUGCAGUUAUUAAGCAUGAAAAGUGUAAGGAUGUCUUGUAUGUAGUUAUCAAUAAAGCUUUGUUAGGCAAUUUGUUAUCAAACGACCUUUCCCCGAGCUAUGAUGUUACUCGGUUUAAGUUUUUAGCCGGCCUAGCCAAAUGACUGAACGAGAAUCCAACACCACUUUCGAGACGAUACGACCCAAAGGUUAUUUGGGCCACUUGAAGCAAUCUAAAUAAUUUAGUGUUGCUUGUGGCUCAAUACACUUCCUUGGAUGGCCAUUAAUUGAGAGAAUAUCUUGUGAGCCCAUUUAAUUGUCUCUUGGGUCUUCAACUUGACCCAUUGUUUAACCUACCUAUACUUACCUUAUUUGGGCCACUGGAUUGAGAGAUAAAUUGGUCUUUUUCUCUCAUUUUGAGAGAACUCGUCGCUGCCUCCUAUUCUUGGCCGAUUCUCAUGGUUUCUUCUUCCAUCUUCUCUGCCUCUUUUUGUCUAUCAUCUUAGUGGUGAUUGUUUAUGAGAUUUCUUGCUCCUUUGUGAUCUCCUAAGUGAUAUAUCUCAUUGGCAACCGAAAGUAAACUUGGUAUUAUCUUGGGUUCGUGGUUGUCGGCUUUGUGGUGUUGGAAGUGGGUAUAAACUAAGCUUAGGUUAUCUUUGGUGAUCUAUAUCAUCAUCUUACAUCUGGUAUCAAAUCUUAGGUUUUUGAUUUCUAUCAAAAUAGUCCAAAAUUGAGAGGAAGAGGCGCCAUUUUUCAAAAUGACCGAACCUAAAUCCUUCAAUUAUUCCCAAACUAAAUCUCUUUUGGACAAACGAAGUUCAGACCCAUAACUAGCAAGUCGAGGUGCCCCCUAUGAGGUAGUACAUGGUGGUGAUGGCAGCGGUCCGACAGCGACGCGUGGGAGGCCCUGCAACGUAAUUUUUUAUGCCAUUUCAUUUAUUUCAUUCUCUUGAACGUUUUGAUGUGUUUAGUUUAGUGUUUCAGAUUGCGAAAGAAAAGUUGGAUGAUAUUGCCCCUGACCUCAAUCUACAUUUGUUGCUGAUCGAAAUUGUUAUAUUUGCUGAAUCUUUAAGGCGAAUAAUGGUGGCCCUAAAGAAGCAAAUUUGCAUCUCUCCACAUUAUGGACUUAGAUAGGUUCGCUCUAGUAAGUUGGCUGAAAUCUUUAUAUUUUUGCACUAGCAAAUCAUCGUGUAGGGUGAUCAUUAGGUUUGAUGGUUGUCAUUGCUUGGCAACAAUUGCUUAUGCUAGAAAUUAAGGUUACAUGUACUUAAUUGUUUGAUUGAGUAUCUGGCUUUUAGUUAAAUCAGUAUUUAAUUCUUAGUGAUAUAAUUGCCGUGAAACUGAUUAUAUGUUAGACGUAAUUUUUUGUUCCAUUAUUA